UAGAAGCGACGCAUGCGCCCGCCGC
Molecule: non-coding RNA, 25 nt
Filed under: Arabidopsis thaliana (thale cress)
Lineage: Eukaryota; Viridiplantae; Streptophyta; Magnoliopsida; Brassicales; Brassicaceae
Source: RNAcentral